RNAcentral lists this ribosomal RNA (465 nucleotides) under Vreelandella stevensii. RNAcentral describes it as "partial 16S ribosomal RNA". It matches the Rfam family "Bacterial small subunit ribosomal RNA", at positions 338 to 795 of the family's 1533-position model. Lineage: Bacteria; Pseudomonadati; Pseudomonadota; Gammaproteobacteria; Oceanospirillales; Halomonadaceae. The record is from RNAcentral.
CCUACGGGAGGCAGCAGUGGGGAAUAUUGGACAAUGGGGGCAACCCUGAUCCAGCCAUGCCGCGUGUGUGAAGAAGGCCCUCGGGUUGUAAAGCACUUUCAGUGAGGAAGAACGCCUGGUGGUUAAUACCCAUCAGGAAAGACAUCACUCACAGAAGAAGCACCGGCUAACUCCGUGCCAGCAGCCGCGGUAAUACGGAGGGUGCGAGCGUUAAUCGGAAUUACUGGGCGUAAAGCGCGCGUAGGUGGCUUGAUAAGCCGGUUGUGAAAGCCCCGGGCUCAACCUGGGAACGGCAUCCGGAACUGUCAAGCUAGAGUGCAGGAGAGGAAGGUAGAAAUCCCGGUGUAGCGGUGAAAUGCGUAGAGAUCGGGAGGAAUACCAGUGGCGAAGGCGGCCUUCUGGACUGACACUGACACUGAGGUGCGAAAGCGUGGGUAGCAAACAGGAUUAGAUACCCUUGUAGUC